This 1773-nucleotide long non-coding RNA is filed under the name Homo sapiens (human). RNAcentral's name for it is "HSALNT0131631". The record is from RNAcentral. Lineage: Eukaryota; Metazoa; Chordata; Mammalia; Primates; Hominidae.
CCUCGUGGUAACGAGUCAGUGAGUCUCACUCUAGUCGUCCCUGUGAAACCUGUUUAUUAAAGAAACCUGGUGCCUCCCUGACUCUUGCUUCCCUCUCACCAUGAGAACUCUGCACACGCAGGCUCCCCUUCACCUUCUGCCAAGAGUGAAGCUUCCCAAGGCCCUCAUCAGAAGCCAGUGCUGGCACCAUGCUUCCUGUACAGUCUGCAGAACCAUGAGCCACAUAAACCUCUUUUCUGUAGGCAGAAAGCUUCCCUGGGCUCUUUCCCACUAAGUGGCUGUCGUUGGCACCCCCAGCUUUGACUGCUUCCCGCAGGAAUGGCCCUCGAGGAGGAAAUGGAGACCACUUCUGUCUGUGGUGUCUGCCUCCUCCCUCCCUCUAGGAGACGUUCUCCUCCCUGGUUUACAGACGGCACAAACGGAAGAAGAAGAAGAUAAAAAGCCCAAAGGUGGGAACAAGGUGUGUGUGGCCUGGCCCCACUUGCCUUUCUCUUGUCCUCAGCUUGCACUGUGGCUCCUGAAUGUUUGCCUCUUUCCUUCAUCAUCAGUAGCUCUGAGGCUUCAGGCUCCAAUUUGUCCCUGGAGAUGUUCAGCAUCUUCCUAGAAGGGAUAUGGUAAUGUCCAGAAGCAUGUCUGGGACUGGCCCUCACAGGAAAGACACAGCAGAAACGUGAAUUUCAGCACCAGCGAGAAGACAGCACCUCACACUGUGUGCCCAAGACAAGCCUUUAGGAACUCUCAGUGCCAGGCAGAACCCAAGCUCCCACACCGGGUGUCUGCCUGUCUGACUGGUUCUACCCGAGAUGCCAAUGCUGACAUCAGUGCUGAGGGCAGCUGAUCGUUGUCUUAACACACUUAAAGGGCACCUCCCAGCUAUCUGCUGCCCCUGUUCCUCUGGACUGGAGAUUUUAGUAACUGCAAGAGUAUCAAAUUUUAUGUUGAUCCCUGGAAAAAUGUAUUAAAUGACAGCUUGGGGGUUUGUUUUUUGUAAAGAAUGUGCAGCAUUUAAUAAGACCAGUAUUAUACAAUUCCAAAACAAGACAAAGAUGUCACAAGAAAACAAAACUACAAAGCAAUAUCUCUUAUUAAUAUGGAUGCAAAAAUCCUCAACAAAAUACUAGCAGAUUGAAUUUAGCAGCUAUAAUAAGAAUUACAUUCUAUGACCAAGUGGGAUUUAUCUUAGGAAUACAAGAUUGGUUGAGCAUUUUAAAAUCAAUUAAGGUAAUACCUCAUAUCAACAGAACAAAAAUCACAUGAUCAUCUCAAUACAUGCAGAAAAAAAGCAUCUGACAAAAUCCUAACCUCAUUCCAUGAUAGAAAUGCUCAACAAACUACUAAUAGGAAGUUCUCAACCAGAGAAAGGGCAUCUAUGGAAAACCCACAGCUAAAAUUAUACUUCAUGGUGAAAUACUGAAUACUUCCCCACAAAGGUCACAAAAAAAGACAGAUAUGUCCACUCUCACCUUGCUGUUCACCAAUGUAUUGGAGUUUCCGGGGCAAUUAGGCAAGAAAAAGAAAAGGCAUUCGGUUUGAAAAGGAAGACGUAAAACUAUCUAUGUUUGCAAAUAACAUGGUCCUAUAUACAGAAAAUCCUAAGGAAUUCACUUAAAAACUAUUAGAACUAGCAAAUGAGUUUGGAAAUAUAGCAUAAUACAAGAUGGAUAUUGUAAAAACCAAUUUUAUUGCUAUAUACUUGCAAUGAGUGAUCCAAAAACUAAAUUAAGAAAAUAAUUCCUAGUAAACUAUCGCAAGAACAAAAAACCAAACACCGCA